UAUUGGACAAUGGGCGAAAGCCUGAUCCAGCAAUACCGCGUGUGUGAAGAAGGCCUUAGGGUUGUAAAGCACUUUCAAUUGGGAGGAAAACCUGCCGGUCAAUACCCGGUAGCUUGACAUUACCUUUAGAAGAAGCACCGGCUAACUCCGUGCCAGCAGCCGCGGUAAUACGGAGGGUGCGAGCGUUAAUCGGAAUUACUGGGCGUAAAGCGUGCGUAGGCGGUUCGUUAAGUCAGAUGUGAAAGCCCUGGGCUCAACCUGGGAACUGCAUUUGAAACUGGCGGACUAGAGUUUAGUAGAGGGGAGUGGAAUUUCAGGUGUAGCGGUGAAAUGCGUAGAUAUCUGAAGGAACGCCAGUGGCGAAGGCGACUCCCUGGACUAGAACUGACGCUGAGUACGAAA
This 402-nucleotide ribosomal RNA is filed under the name uncultured bacterium. Its description in RNAcentral is "bacterial SSU rRNA". It matches the Rfam family "Bacterial small subunit ribosomal RNA", at positions 362 to 758 of the family's 1533-position model. The record is from RNAcentral.